AUUGAACGCUGGCGGCAUGCCUUACACAUGCAAGUCGAACGGCAGCAUGGAGAGCUUGCUCUCUGAUGGCGAGUGGCGAACGGGUGAGUAAUGCAUCGGAACGUACCGUGUAAUGGGGGAUAACGUAGCGAAAGUUACGCUAAUACCGCAUACGACCUGAGGGCGAAAGCAGGGGAUCGAAAGACCUUGCGUUAUACGAGCGGCCGAUGUCAGAUUAGCUAGUUGGUGAGGUAAAGGCUCACCAAGGCGACGAUCUGUAGCGGGUCUGAGAGGAUGAUCCGCCACACUGGGACUGAGACACGGCCCAGACUCCUACGGGAGGCAGCAGUGGGGAAUUUUGGACAAUGGGGGCAACCCUGAUCCAGCCAUGCCGCGUGAGUGAAGAAGGCCUUCGGGUUGUAAAGCUCUUUCGGCCGGGAAGAAAUCGCACAGGCUAAUACUCUGUGUGGAUGACGGUACCGGCAUAAGAAGCACCGGCUAACUACGUGCCAGCAGCCGCAGUAA
This 504-nucleotide ribosomal RNA is filed under the name uncultured bacterium. Its description in RNAcentral is "partial 16S ribosomal RNA". It matches the Rfam family "Bacterial small subunit ribosomal RNA", at positions 30 to 523 of the family's 1533-position model. The record is from RNAcentral.